This 347-nucleotide unclassified non-coding RNA is filed under the name uncultured Conocybe. RNAcentral's name for it is "sequence contains ITS1". The stretch from base 1 to 105 matches the Rfam family "5.8S ribosomal RNA", at positions 50 to 154 of the family's 154-position model. The record is from RNAcentral. Lineage: Eukaryota; Fungi; Basidiomycota; Agaricomycetes; Agaricales; Bolbitiaceae.
GAAAUGCGAUAAGUAAUGUGAAUUGCAGAAUUCAGUGAAUCAUCGAAUCUUUGAACGCACCUUGCGCUCCUUGGUAUUCCGAGGAGCAUGCCUGUUUGAGUGUCAUUAAAUUCUCAAUCUCUGUCAACUUUGUUGUUUAGAAGAUUGGAUAUGGGGGAUUUUGUGGGUGCAAUAGUGUUCACUCCCCUAAAAAACAUUAGCUGGAAUGCCUUUGCAAACCAACUAUCAGUUUGAUAAUUAUCACUACUGGCGUUGUUGCAUAAAGGGAAUCUGCUUUCUAAUUGUUCUUAUAUGACAAUAUGAAUCAUUUUGACCUCAAAUCAGGUAGGACUACCCGCUGAACUUAA